GAUGGAUGAAAGGCCGGAGCUAACAUG
RNAcentral lists this non-coding RNA (27 nucleotides) under Cricetulus griseus (Chinese hamster). Lineage: Eukaryota; Metazoa; Chordata; Mammalia; Rodentia; Cricetidae. The record is from RNAcentral.